Long non-coding RNA from Oncorhynchus tshawytscha (Chinook salmon), 3135 nucleotides. The record is from Ensembl. NCBI's taxonomy places the organism in Eukaryota, Metazoa, Chordata, Actinopteri, Salmoniformes, Salmonidae.
CAGACAUAAAAGCAACUAAAGUAACUAAGUAAUGGUAAAUAGCAGAUUCAUAGAAAUACACGCACAUAGAAAAUUCAAUUUAGAAAGGCAUAGAUAAGUGAUUAAAUACCAUAGCUACUAGUAACGGUAAGGAUUAAAGAUGGGUAGAAAUUCCUCAAAGGAGGUGCCGGAACUAACGGGAGACGAGAGUUAUAAAGUCGAGAAAAGAGGAUAAGGUGAGUCAAAAGAAAAAGAUCAAAUGUUUUAAUUGUAACGAAAUUGGACAUUUCGCCCGGGAGUGUAACACUCCCUGCAAACGUCACCAUCAAUAUUGUAAUUUAACUGAGGGGAAGGUCAGAGGCGACAAUCGGGUAAAAAAAAGAAGGGUCAGAUACAAAGAGAGCGAGAUUAAGGAGAAUCCUAACUGAGGGAAAACUUUGGGUUGUUAAAUCAGGGCUAUUUUCUGUUGUCUAGAUGCUGGAGCUAGAAAUAUAGACAACUGUAAAAUGGGUCUAUUUGCAGAGAAUCUCAGUCAGUUCCAUAGUGUUGGUGGUAUAGUGGUGAGCGUAGCAGUCUUACAAAAUGCAGUCCAGGGUUUGGUUCCCAGCUGAGGCUUUAACUAAAAAAUAUAUAUAUAUGAGUUUUUGGUUGUAAUUAAACUAAUUGUUUUGCAGAGAAAGUUAUAGUCACUAGUAUUGGUAUAAGAUAUAAACUGAACGUUUUAAAUAGUUUGUUUGGUUCAAAUUGAAAGACUAAUUCAUUCAACUUAAAAUAAGGACGAAGCGAAUUUUGAUGCAAGACGAUUUCUGUUCACUAAAUGAUCUGUUUGAAUAAUGUAUUGGGAAUAGAGUCGUAAUUAAAAUGCUAAAUCAAAGACGAGACAGUAACUUAAAUCAAAUGAAUUCUGAAUAAUAACAGGGAAACAAUUACGAUAGAUUUGUGCCCAUCGAAAUGUUCUUGUAAAUUUAGCGAAUUGGGAGAUGAGAGAUGUUGAUUGAUGUUGUAAACUCUAAUUCAGGAUUCAACAGAUGUGAUAAAUUAGGUGUGGUUUAUCGAACCCCAACUAUUGUUGCUGCAGGCAGCCAACAAUUAUUUACAAUUCAUUGAAAGUCGUUGCGGAUAGGGUCGAGGUUGAGCGCUUGUUGAUGACAUCACUCGCAAGGCACUUGUGUCGCCACGGAAAUGAUGUCGUGACUGGGGGUAACGGAGAAAAUUGUUUGUGUCUUAGAAGGAAAAUGCGUGCAUUAUUGUUUUGAGUCACUUUUCAGAAGUUGAUAAAAAUGUCCAAAUACAUUUUUAAAAGGAGUAUGUAAGUCGUCAGGAAAGAUGCUAAAAACUAGCAGCUGAUUUGCUAGUUGGGCAUCAUUGAUUUGUGGUGUUUAUUUGGACUGUAUUAGGCCAUGAGAAAGGGAGAUUGAAUGUCUGAAUCGUAAAACAUCGUGAUAAUGGAUUCUGAUGGUUAUUGAUUCCUGGUUUGAUUGUUUAUGUAAUGUUAGGGUAUUAAUGUUGAAAAGCAACCUCUAUAGUAAAACAUAAUUGCAUGUGUUUCGGGAACCUAGCUAGGUUGAAUUUGGUUAUUUGAGCUUUUCCCCUGAUACGUAGACAUCUGUAACAGGGGCAAGUUGUUUUUUCUUGAGAAACAUGCAGAUGGUGUUUUGUUUUAUUGAGAUGUAAACGUGAGUCUCUGAGUAAUUUUGUCAUCUGAAGCAUUAUAGUAGUGAGUUUUUGUAUAGUUUGUUUUUUGCUGAUAAAAGUGGUUUGUUUAUUUGGUUACUGAUGAUUGUUUAUUCUAGGAGUUGAUUUAACUUAAUUAAGCAUUUGUUCUGGUGUGUUUAAGUAGGAUUCUUUAUACCGGGACGGAUGGAAGUUAUCUAAAAUAUAGGUUUCCUGGGAUUAUAAUCUUGGGGAGAGUGAGGCCAUAAACGACCAAAUUGGAAAAUGCCUGGAAGUUUUGAUUAAUCAGGGUGGUAUGACCUAUUGACCUUAUCAUGGCUAUCUUUUGAGGUCUGAUCAGCCUCAGGGGAGAGUCAUUUGUAUCAUGAAUGUGGUCAUUUGGGUUAUUAGUUUUAAGGUAAAUUAAUUAUAAUGGAGUUUUAGUUUGGGGUUAGAAUUAUUGUUUAAACCGCAAAUGAGAAAGUUGUUCAGGAUUCUGUUUUACAACAUUAGCUGUGAAGUUUUUUGAAUGGGCUAUUAUUGAUUUGGUAUUAUAACAGAGAAAAAAAUCCUAUUUAUCAUUGAGAAUAAAUAGGGGAAGAUAAGAUACAUUGAGGUUUGGAUAGGAGAUAUAUUAAGCCAAUAGGGCAGGGAAUUACAUAGAAAAAUAAGUUUCAGUUCUUAGGGGUGAUAAAUUACUGUAGAUAAGGUAUUCCACACUUUGCAACAUAUAUUAAAUUCAUGUUAUUGUCAGAAUACUGAGGGUCCCUGAAGGAAAGAACUUGUUAGUAUAGGAAGAAUUUUGAUAUGGUUAGACUUUGUUUGACUAUUAGGAGGUUUUUUAAAUAGUAUUAAAUUUAACAGGAAUAUAGGACAUCUGUGAUGAUUUAGGAUUAUUGUUAGGAUUAAGAUAGAUUGAUUAAGUAAAUGUAAGGACUUUAGAGAUUGCCACUCAUAGACAUGUUUUUUCUAAAAUCAAUGACUUUAGAUAAAGUCAAACAGAAGCUUAGUGGUAUUUGAGAGAUAUGAGAGAAAAGGGUUACGGUUUAAAUCGCUAAAUAUAUAUAUUUAAGAAAAUGUAUAAGUAGCACAGAUACUUCUUAAAGUAGAUAAGAAACUUGACAGAGAAUUGGUACAGGAUUGACAUGAAUGGAUGCCCAAGGGAGAAUUGGACAUGUGGAAAAUGAAAGGGGCUCCUACAUGAUGAUGUCAGACAUAAGGAUAAUUUACUAAUCUUACCUAAGUCAUUGUUUAGAGUAGGCAAGGUUGUUACCUGGGCAGAGCCAGGUAACAAAGGGGGAUGGGUAAAUUGUGUUCUAGGAUAGGAUGUGACCUACAGGAUAAUUAACUUAUUAAAAAAAAUCUAACAAGUAGGUAUAGAAGUUAAAGAUAGAGUGCCUUGCGAAAGUAUUCGGCCCCCUUGAACUUUGCGACCUUUUGUCACAUUCCAGGCUUCAAACAUAAAGAUAUAAAACUGUAUUUUUUUGUGAAGAAUCAACAACA